UAAUUUAGGAAUAGUAUUGAUAUUUACAUGUUUAUAUUGAUAUUUAGGAAUAGUAUUUAAUAGUAUUGAUAUUUAGGAAUAGUAUUGAUAUUUCAAUGAUAUUUUUUUUUAUUGUUUGCUGUUGAUUGAUUUUUUGAAAUGGUUUUGCCGUAAUUUAGGAAUAGUAUUGACAUUUACAUGUUUAUAUUGAUAUUUAGGAAUAGUAUUAACAGUAUUGAUAUUUCUAAAUAGUAUUGUUAUUUCAUUGAUAUUUUUGUUUGAUUGUUUGCUGUUGAUUGAUUUUUGAAGAUUGAUUUGCUGUAAUUUAGGAAUAGUAUUGAUACUUACAUGUUUAUAUCGAUAUUUAGGAAUAUUAUUGAUAUUUCAAUGAUAUUUUUGUUUGAUUGUUUUCUGUUGAUUGAUUUUUUAAG
This 410-nucleotide long non-coding RNA is filed under the name Zostera marina. RNAcentral's name for it is "long non-coding RNA (ZMAR_LNC000571)". Lineage: Eukaryota; Viridiplantae; Streptophyta; Magnoliopsida; Alismatales; Zosteraceae. The record is from RNAcentral.